AAUUCCAGAGCAAAUAAGGAAGAGUAUUAUAGCCUUCCUUUAAUCCCCCUUUGGCUGUUUAUCAUUAUUCUGGCAUCUGAGAUUUGGAGGAUGCUAAGCUGCUGGAGAGUCCACAAUGAGUGGGAGCACUAUAUUCAAUUCAAAAUUAAGAGUUCCACGGACUGCAAAGGGAAUUUAAAUAAAUAAAAUUGCAAGCUCUGCCUCAGAUUGCCAAGCCUAGGAUAUGAUCACAAGAAUGUUAUCAACAAAGCUUUGCAGCUCAGGACCUCUUGAUCUGUUAGGCUGGGUCUAAAAUCUAGAGAAUGAAUUUUGCCUGAGCCUGUUAAUGCAGGUAUUUCAGUGUGGUGAAUGGUUGGAUUGUAAGUUUUCUGGGGCAAAGGAUGUUUUAUUGUGUAGGAGGCUCCGCUGUUCUUCAAAGCAUCAUAGUCCUGUGGAAGGGUAUCCUAAAAAAUGCCAUUUGGGGGCUUUUGCAGGAAUGCCAUGCAUGGAAUUAGGAUUUGAUGGUGAAGGGAAAAAAGUGGAGAAAGCUUUAGUAGCUUACUUUUGAUAUGGCCUAGUUUCUGUGAGUAGAAAUAUUUCUCCUUCUGUGUGUGUAUGUACAUGCGUAGGUGUAUUUCUGUAUGACUUUUUCAAAUUCUCUGCAAUGCUGUCUCCUCUGUGGGCAAAUAGGAUUAUGCAUUAAAACAGAAUUAAUCUCUCAUUGUAAAACACACAGGCUCAGUGUUUGCCACGGCUCUGCUUUCAGAAUGUGAUUCAGAUAUUGUGGUCUUCACCAAAGAAAGGCAGAUUCUUGAUGGAAACUACUUCCAUCUGUUUCUGCAAGUGAAAAAGUUAAUGUAUCAGUCAUGCAUCAUUGCUGGAUUAGCAAUCACACCCCCAAAUGCUAAUAAUCAGUAAACUGCCUGACAUGGCGAAAGAACAAAGAAGUGCCUUAACUAGACUCAUUGUUUCUUAUGGUUGUAGUUUCUGUUGAUGAUGACUCUACAUAUAAUUUUUUUCCUUUUUCAUUUCUUUCCCCAUCUCAUUCAGUCUGGCCACAUGAAACUGGUGUUGAACAGAAGAAAGUUUGCCACAGUUGAUCACUCAACACUCUAGUGCUGGGUCAUGCAGGCUGGAGGGAUUCUGCAAGGCUGAAUGCUGUGGAAGGAACUGGAACCAAGUUAAUGUGGAAAAGCUCGUAAGUUUGGACUGUAUGACUGACACCUUCUCUUGGCACAUAUGCUCUGCCCACCCCUCCCUUCCAUGGAACUGGUUGUGCAGAUGGAGGUACGGAAAUGCUCCACAUUGGCAGUGAAGUGACCAUGUCUGAUAAGGACGUCCAGAGCUCAAGGAACCGCUGUACAUGGGAGGAUUUAAAUGGUGGAGAGUUUGCUGCUCCUCAGGUCUAACGGUGUCCACCCUCACUUCUCAGAAGCUGCUGCAGAAGAAAGAAGAAGCGGCGUGGGGAACUGGGAGGCCAGAGCAAGCAAGAAGAGGAGGCUGUUGUCUGUCUAUCUCAUGGGACUAAUUUUGGCCUUUUGCAGCCACAGUUCACACCCAUCUAGAGAAUAGGAAGGACAGAAUUCUGCUAACCAGCUUUUGUUACACAACAUGCCAGCUUGCAGACUAGCUGGUAGUCUCUACAUUCUUGUCUUCAUGAAGAAGAAUGAAAUAAGAACUACAUAUCAUGCAUCAUGUUUUUUUUUCCAUUUUCUAAUGUAAGGCAGUGUUGAAAGAGGCAGCAUCAAACUGAAAGCAUCCCAUUUAUUUUCUCUGGGUAGUCAACUUAUUCGUCGUUUGCAAGAACUCUGAUCUCUAUGUAUUUCCAUUAAAAUGUUAUUUACAUCUGAACGUUAAUAAGAGAAUAGUAAAGCCAGUAUCUAGAGUGUAGGAGGCAGAGAGGCAUGAAAUAAUGAAUAAAUUGGAUUUCACCUACUUUAUCUAGUAAAAGAUGGAGAUUUCUUCCUCUCAGUAGGGAGCGUAGGAAUGCGGGAUCUGGCCCUUGUUCAAGAAGGAACUUGUUAAAUCUUAGUGUAUCUAAGCAUUUCUUCCCUUCUCUGCUUUAUGUAAUGCCUCUAAAGUGUUUGAAUGGCUUGUUUUUGUAUCAGUGAAAUUACAAUCCAGAUGGUAAAGCAAUCAGAUGUUGAAGCAUACUCAUGAGCAUGCACAUAAUGGCCCUGCAGGAGUAGGUGGAAGUAUCAUAUGCAAACUGUCAUGUACUUAUCAUUUUUGUUACUGGUAUUCCACAUCAUACCAUUGUGUAUUUCACUGGGAGUUACAGAGGUAAUGCUCCAGUUCCAAGUACUGUCAGUAUUUCUGGGUACCUGGUACUUGGAAGAGAAGAACUACAUAUCCCAGAAGACUUUCACUGCUCCGUUUCCAUUUUCUGCUCAGAGGGAAAGAUAAAACUGCUCACAAGUCAUGAGAAAGCCCCCCUUCUUUUACUGCUCAUCUCUGCAGUGCGUUCUCCCUAGCCAUCUCACCUUCAGCAUUAGUGUAAAGCCUUCUGUUUUGGACACACUUCCUAAUUUUAUUUGAUUUCUUAGCUUCAAUUUCAAUUGCAUUGCAUUCCAUUAUCAUAUUUAGUAACUUAAUUUUAAUCCCUUAGCUCAUUGCUGCUGUUUUGUUUUUAGGGCCGUCUCCCUACCUUUUCCCCCUUCUCCCUGGGUGCGAAUCCAUGGCCCCCCUGUUGUUCCAUAGUAGGCAUUAUUACUCUAAGGCAGGAGAGCUCAGGGCAGCUGCAUGUCGAAGAGCCAAACCCUUUAGAUGUCCCUUCCAAGUGGUUAUGUUUCCUCAGACACAGAGCAGAAAUAAAGCAGAAGCAAAGGAAAUGAAGGGCCUAUUUUGGCCCAGUGCACAGACCCUAUUACUUAUCCAGGGGUGAAAGUCAUACUCUGAUACGGCUCUUAGUGGGGGAGGGAGGUGGGAGGAAGCACAUUGGUUACAUCUACAUAAAGGGGAAAGAGAGAGAGAAACCUUGAGUUUGCUUGGAAUUAAAAAUGGACAAAACAUUGGAUAUGUGUUUGGGACUUCCUUCAAAAUCCUCAUCACAGAGAAGGGAUGAUGGUAAAUUUUGUAUUAGCUCUUCACCUGCACCCUACACUUCUGCCAUAUGCCAUGGUGCCUUCCAAUUUAAGGUUUUACUCAGAGCGUAAUUCUAAUGCUAUUAGCAUCACAGAGCUGGAAGAGGUUCUGUAGAGAUGCAUCAAAAGCUUUGGAUGUUCAUAGACUGUUGGGAAACGCCCCAAGUUUCCCCAAAAGGGUUGCCCUACCAGUACUCGCGUGGGGAACGCAAGAUCAACUCAAUAUGAGAUGCGUCCGACUUUAUUGUAGCAACACACCAUCUUAUAUAGCAUAUAUGCUUCCAGGGAUACAGGGUCCAGGGAUACAAGCUCUAUGCAACGCGCACGCUAACAAUAUUGUUGCCUGAAUUAUCUCCAUAUAUGGGAUAUGUUGUUAACUACAGCACUAUGGAUACAGAAUACUAUAGAUAUGCUGGAAUAUACUAGAACACACUGGAAACACCACAUUCCACGUAUCUAGGGAUUACAUCAUUACAUCAUAAAUCAUUAGUAAAUCAGUAGCUACGUGCUGCCGAGCAACCUGCUUCUCAACAAUAGACGAAGAAGUAGAUGGAUCCUGGGGUCUUCUAAUUACCUUGAGUAAAUAACCAGACCCCUGCAGAACAACUGGCACUUGAUCCUUCAUGACCUUCCUGUGGAUGUGGGCAACUCAGCACCUAGCAACCAAACUGAAAUCCCAAAGUGUGGGAUGUAUGUCCUCAAAUGCAUUUUCCUUCAUAUCACUGUGUUUCCACAAAAAUGUUUGAUUACAUGUUUCAAUCAACCUAAUUAUUCUGGAUUCUUUGUAGACGUGGAAUGCAUCUCACUUGCUCAGGUCAGUGCAGAAUUGAGAUAAACUUUUCAAAUACAGUGCAGCGUUUGCUUCCAGGUUCUUGUGGAGAAAUCUGCUGAUGCUGCUUAAUGUUUUCACUCCAGCUGUCCUGGAAUCUUUGACACCCACUCAUAGAAUCAAGAUCCGAAGUUUCCAUGCUACAGAUAAUAUCUUUGAGUUAAUUCAUUCAGAAAGAAGUAGUGUCUACUUGAUUAGUCAAAAUAUAUAGCUCUGAACUAUUUUAAAUGAACAUCCAAUUUUAAAUAAACAUUUGAAAUAUUCAGUGCUUAUUUCUGUUAUGUAAUUAUUAAAUCUUCCUCUCCUGUCCUGCACAAUGUCAUGAAUAAAUUAAAAUUAGUUUGUGAAAAUGAACAGUAUUAAACUCCUAAAACACUUUCUACUUUAUGCUAUUUGAUGGAUGCAGUGGAAUUGCUGGGACACAGCCUGAACCAAUGGUUGAGCACCAGGUGAGAAGGCAUGGUAAACCCAGGGAGGUCUGGUGCAAGCAAUGCACCUGAAUGACCAGAUGCAGGCUGCACCUCUCCUCACCCUCGUUUAAGGGUUAGCAGUCAAGGGAACUGCAUCUUUCAUGAUGGUGAUUGCGCUCUGAGCUGCCUCUGGUCAGUGGUAGGGGUGAGUCAAUUUUCCUUCUUUUUUACCUGCUGUUGCUCUGUAGCAUUUGUAUUUCAAAGCACUAUUUGUAUUACAAAGCACUGUUAUGACCUUCUUUUGCCAUACAAUGUACACUGUGAUUUUUUAUUUAAUAAAAUGGCUGACAGGGUGA
Molecule: long non-coding RNA, 4657 nt
Organism: Numida meleagris (helmeted guineafowl)
Lineage: Eukaryota; Metazoa; Chordata; Aves; Galliformes; Numididae
Exons: 5
Source: RefSeq, a predicted model, not a curated record